AAAUUGAAGAGUUUGAUCAUGGCUCAGAUUGAACGCUGGCGGCAGGCCUAACACAUGCAAGUCGAACGGUAACAGGAAACAGCUUGCUGUUUCGCUGACGAGUGGCGGACGGGUGAGUAAUGUCUGGGAAACUGCCCGAUGGAGGGGGAUAACUACUGGAAACGGUAGCUAAUACCGCAUAACGUCGCAAGACCAAAGAGGGGGACCUUCGGGCCUCUUGCCAUCGGAUGUGCCCAGAUGGGAUUAGCUAGUAGGUGGGGUAACGGCUCACCUAGGCGACGAUCCCUAGCUGGUCUGAGAGGAUGACCAGCCACACUGGAACUGAGACACGGUCCAGACUCCUACGGGAGGCAGCAGUGGGGAAUAUUGCACAAUGGGCGCAAGCCUGAUGCAGCCAUGCCGCGUGUAUGAAGAAGGCCUUCGGGUUGUAAAGUACUUUCAGCGGGGAGGAAGGGAGUAAAGUUAAUACCUUUGCUCAUUGACGUUACCCGCAGAAGAAGCACCGGCUAACUCCGUGCCAGCAGCCGCGGUAAUACGGAGGGUGCAAGCGUUAAUCGGAAUUACUGGGCGUAAAGCGCACGCAGGCGGUUUGUUAAGUCAGAUGUGAAAUCCCCGGGCUCAACCUGGGAACUGCAUCUGAUACUGGCAAGCUUGAGUCUCGUAGAGGGGGGGUAGAAUUCCAGGUGUAGCGGUGAAAUGCGUAGAGAUCUGGAGGAAUACCGGUGGCGAAGGCGGCCCCCUGGACGAAGACUGACGCUCAGGUGCGAAAGCGUGGGGAGCAAACAGGAUUAGAUACCCUGGUAGUCCACGCCGUAAACGAUGUCGACUUGGAGGUUGUGCCCUUGAGGCGUGGCUUCCGGAGCUAACGCGUUAAGUCGACCGCCUGGGGAGUACGGCCGCAAGGUUAAAACUCAAAUGAAUUGACGGGGGCCCGCACAAGCGGUGGAGCAUGUGGUUUAAUUCGAUGCAACGCGAAGAACCUUACCUGGUCUUGACAUCCACGGAAGUUUUCAGAGAUGAGAAUGUGCCUUCGGGAACCGUGAGACAGGUGCUGCAUGGCUGUCGUCAGCUCGUGUUGUGAAAUGUUGGGUUAAGUCCCGCAACGAGCGCAACCCUUAUCCUUUGUUGCCAGCGGUCCGGCCGGGAACUCAAAGGAGACUGCCAGUGAUAAACUGGAGGAAGGUGGGGAUGACGUCAAGUCAUCAUGGCCCUUACGACCAGGGCUACACACGUGCUACAAUGGCGCAUACAAAGAGAAGCGACCUCGCGAGAGCAAGCGGACCUCAUAAAGUGCGUCGUAGUCCGGAUUGGAGUCUGCAACUCGACUCCAUGAAGUCGGAAUCGCUAGUAAUCGUGGAUCAGAAUGCCACGGUGAAUACGUUCCCGGGCCUUGUACACACCGCCCGUCACACCAUGGGAGUGGGUUGCAAAAGAAGUAGGUAGCUUAACCUUCGGGAGGGCGCUUACCACUUUGUGAUUCAUGACUGGGGUGAAGUCGUAACAAGGUAACCGUAGGGGAACCUGCGGUUGGAUCACCUCCUUA
Molecule: ribosomal RNA, 1543 nt
Filed under: Escherichia coli
Lineage: Bacteria; Pseudomonadati; Pseudomonadota; Gammaproteobacteria; Enterobacterales; Enterobacteriaceae
Description: bacterial SSU rRNA
Rfam family: Bacterial small subunit ribosomal RNA
Source: RNAcentral